AGAAAGUGGCCUUGCAGUCUGGGAGUUGUCAUAACUAUCAAAGCUAUACAGGCUGCCAGUGAUGCAUUAAAAUGUGAGUGGAUGGAUGGGGAAGAGGCAGAGUUGUGAAAUUCCAUCAAAGAGAGGGCGCAAUGCUUCAAUUUCUGGUGCAGGUCUGCAGUGGCCACCAGGACUUGUUAACCACAACUGUGCACGCUGGGAGGCAGCAGUUCGUGAGGGACGUAAGGCUUCAUGGUAAGACCUGUGAGAUGACCUAUGAGAUGGAAGAGAGACACAUUGACAGCAUGGUGUGCACACUGGUUACCAAAUGGGAUAGCUUUCCUGUGCCUGGGGGGGCCUCCUGUAGUCUCCUAAGCUGUGAGGUGUUGGUGCUGUCCCUUUUCAUAAGGAUGGACCUCAGGAAAUGGGUUGGAAGAUGGAGAGAGAGAUUGGUGCUGCAGGGUUUCCGCUGAAUGGGGUCUACUUUAGGACAAAUGUGUGCUGUGCCAUGCACAGAUCCCUAAGGGUGAGGCUGGGGAUGUGCACCCGGCCGGGGCAGGGCUGGUGGGAGGCAGCUCGUGCCCCUCUGGGGGUUCUGGGGGUACCUCCUUUUAGCUCCGGCCUCAGUCCUGGGCUGCACCCAUGGUGGCCAGAAAUACCCGCCUCGUCCUGCUCUGCUUGUGUCAUACGCGCUGUACCCUUUCUUCCUCCUUUGUCUCCUCUAUAAGAGCAGCUGAAAGAACCAGGGGUGAGAAGGAUCAGUGGUCACAAUUAACAUUAAAGGUUCCUACACUGCAUCCAGCAGUAGCAUCUCAUCCUACAGAGAACUUAAAAUCAGGAGAUUGAGCAAUUGUAUAGAAAAGCUAUCUAGCAAGAAAACAAC
RNAcentral lists this long non-coding RNA (862 nucleotides) under Anas platyrhynchos platyrhynchos (common mallard). RNAcentral's name for it is "lncRNA (ENSAPLG00000019557.1)". Lineage: Eukaryota; Metazoa; Chordata; Aves; Anseriformes; Anatidae. The record is from RNAcentral.